GACGAACCGUGCGAACGUUGUUCGGAAUCACUGGGCUUAAAGGGCGCGUAGGCGGCUCCGCCAGUCGGGGGUGAAAUCCCACCGCCUAACGGUGGAAGGGCCUCCGAUACUGCGGGGCUGGAGGGAGGUAGGGGCAGCGGGAACUUCGGGUGGAGCGGUGAAAUGCGUUGAUAUCCGAAGGAACGCCGGUGGCGAAAGCGCGCUGCUGGACCUCUUCUGACGCUGAGGCGCGAAAGCCAGGGGAGCAAACGGGAUUAGAUACCCCGGUAGUCCUGGCCCUAAACGAUGGGGACUAGCUUGUGGCCUGAUCAUGAGGUCACAGGCGGAGCAAAAGUCUUAAGUCCCCCGCCUGGGGAGUAUGGUCGCAAGGCUGAA
RNAcentral lists this ribosomal RNA (375 nucleotides) under uncultured bacterium. RNAcentral describes it as "bacterial SSU rRNA". It matches the Rfam family "Bacterial small subunit ribosomal RNA", at positions 524 to 898 of the family's 1533-position model. The record is from RNAcentral.